GACAGAGGGUGCAAGCGUUGUUCGGAAUUACUGGGCGUAAAGCGCACGUAGGCGGCUUAGCAAGUCGGAUGUGAAAUCCCUCGGCUCAACCAAGGAAGUGCAUCCGAAACUGCUGAGCUUGAGUACGAAAGAGGAUCGCGGAAUUCCCGGUGUAGAGGUGAAAUUCGUAGAUAUCGGGAGGAACACCAGUGGCGAAGGCGGCGAUCUGGGUCGAUACUGACGCUGAGGUGCGAAAGCGUGGGGAGCAAACAGG
This 253-nucleotide ribosomal RNA is filed under the name uncultured bacterium. Its description in RNAcentral is "partial 16S ribosomal RNA". It matches the Rfam family "Bacterial small subunit ribosomal RNA", at positions 524 to 776 of the family's 1533-position model. The record is from RNAcentral.